UGCCUACGGGGCGCAGCAGUGGGGAAUAUUGCACAAUGGGGGAAACCCUGAUGCAGCAACGCCGCGUGAGUGAAGAAGUAUUUCGGUAUGUAAAGCUCUAUCAGCAGGGAAGAAGAUGACGGUACCUGAUUAAGAAGCCCCGGCUAACUACGUGCCAGCAGCCGCGGUAAUACGUAGGGGGCAAGCGUUAUCCGGAUUUACUGGGUGUAAAGGGAGCGCAGACGGCAGUGCAAGUCUGGAGUGAAAGCCCGGGGCCCAACCCCGGAACUGCUCUGGAAACUGUGUAACUGGAGUGCAGGAGAGGC
RNAcentral lists this ribosomal RNA (305 nucleotides) under uncultured bacterium. RNAcentral describes it as "bacterial SSU rRNA". It matches the Rfam family "Bacterial small subunit ribosomal RNA", at positions 335 to 658 of the family's 1533-position model. The record is from RNAcentral.